GACAGAGGGUGCAAACGUUGUUCGGAAUUACUGGGCGUAAAGCGCGUGUAGGCGGCCAUGCAAGUCGGGUGUGAAAGCCCUCGGCUCAACUGAGGAAGUGCACCCGAAACUACGUGGCUGGAGUCCUGGAGAGGAAGGUGGAAUGCUCGGUGUAGAGGUGAAAUUCGUAGAUAUCGAGCGGAACACCGGUGGCGAAGGCGGCCUUCUGGACAGUGACUGACGCUGAGACGCGAAAGCGUGGGGAGCAAAC
This 250-nucleotide ribosomal RNA is filed under the name uncultured bacterium. Its description in RNAcentral is "partial 16S ribosomal RNA". It matches the Rfam family "Bacterial small subunit ribosomal RNA", at positions 524 to 773 of the family's 1533-position model. The record is from RNAcentral.